RNAcentral lists this ribosomal RNA (274 nucleotides) under uncultured bacterium. RNAcentral's name for it is "partial 16S ribosomal RNA". It matches the Rfam family "Bacterial small subunit ribosomal RNA", at positions 523 to 796 of the family's 1533-position model. The record is from RNAcentral.
AUACGAAGGGGGCUAGCGUUGCUCGGAAUUACUGGGCGUAAAGGGAGCGUAGGCGGACAUUUAAGUCAGGGGUGAAAUCCCGGGGCUCAACCUCGGAAUUGCCUUUGAUACUGGGUGUCUUGAGUGUGAGAGAGGUAUGUGGAACUCCGAGUGUAGAGGUGAAAUUCGUAGAUAUUCGGAAGAACACCAGUGGCGAAGGCGACAUACUGGCUCAUUACUGACGCUGAGGCUCGAAAGCGUGGGGAGCAAACAGGAUUAGAAACCCUAGUAGUCC